GAAAUUGAAAUCGCAGUGAAGAUGCUGUGUACCCGCGGCUAGACGGAAAGACCCCGUGAACCUUUACUACAGCUUGGCACUGAACAUUGAACCUACAUGUGUAGGAUAGGUGGGAGACUUAGAAGCAGAGACGCUAGUUUUUGUGGAGUCGUCCUUGAAAUACCACCCUUGUAGUUUUGAUGUUCUAACGUUGGCCCCUGAAUCGGGGUUACGGACAGUGCCUGGUGGGUAGUUUGACUGGGGCGG
RNAcentral lists this ribosomal RNA (246 nucleotides) under Pseudoalteromonas sp. SG44-17. RNAcentral describes it as "partial 23S ribosomal RNA". It matches the Rfam family "Bacterial large subunit ribosomal RNA", at positions 2038 to 2282 of the family's 2925-position model. Lineage: Bacteria; Pseudomonadati; Pseudomonadota; Gammaproteobacteria; Alteromonadales; Pseudoalteromonadaceae. The record is from RNAcentral.